This 253-nucleotide ribosomal RNA is filed under the name uncultured bacterium. RNAcentral's name for it is "partial 16S ribosomal RNA". It matches the Rfam family "Bacterial small subunit ribosomal RNA", at positions 524 to 776 of the family's 1533-position model. The record is from RNAcentral.
UACGAAGGGGGCGAGCGUUGUUCGGAAUCACUGGGCGUAAAGGGCGCGUAGGCGGCCCGCUAAGUCGAACGUGAAAUCCCCGGGCUUAACCCGGGAACUGCGUCCGAUACUGGCAGGCUUGAAUUCGGGAGAGGGAUGUGGAAUUCCAGGUGUAGCGGUGAAAUGCGUAGAUAUCUGGAGGAACACCGGUGGCGAAGGCGGCAUCCUGGACCGAUAUUGACGCUGAUGCGCGAAAGCCAGGGGAGCAAACGGG